This 148-nucleotide non-coding RNA is filed under the name Gorilla gorilla gorilla (western lowland gorilla). Lineage: Eukaryota; Metazoa; Chordata; Mammalia; Primates; Hominidae. The record is from Rfam by way of RNAcentral.
GCCGGGCAUGGUGGCGGGUGCCUGUAAUCCCAGCUACUUGGGAGGCUGAGGCAGGAGAAUCGCUUGAACCUGGGAGGCGGAGGUUGCAGUGAGCCAAGAUCAUGCCACUGCACUCCAGCCUGGGCGACAGAGCGAGAUUCUGUCUUAA